This 403-nucleotide ribosomal RNA is filed under the name bacterium. RNAcentral's name for it is "partial 16S ribosomal RNA". It matches the Rfam family "Bacterial small subunit ribosomal RNA", at positions 355 to 776 of the family's 1533-position model. The record is from RNAcentral.
UGGGGAAUAUUGCACAAUGGGGGAAACCCUGAUGCAGCGACGCCGCGUGAACGAAGAAGGUAUUCGUAUCGUAAAGUUCUGUCCUAUGGGAAGAUAAUGACAGUACCAUAGAAGAAAGCUCCGGCUAAAUACGUGCCAGCAGCCGCGGUAAUACGUAUGGAGCGAGCGUUGUCCGGAAUUAUUGGGCGUAAAGGGUACGCAGGCGGUUUAAUAAGUCGAAUGUUAAAGAUCGGGGCUCAACCCCGCAAAGCAUUGGAAACUGAUAAACUUGAGUAGUGGAGAGGAAAGUGGAAUUCCUUGUGUAGUGGUGAAAUACGUAGAUAUUAGGAGGAAUACCAGUAGCGAAGGCGACUUUCUGGACACAAACUGACGCUGGGGUACGAAAGCGUGGGGAGCAAACAGG